GGUUAUUUUUAUGCUU
RNAcentral lists this small RNA (16 nucleotides) under Arabidopsis thaliana (thale cress). RNAcentral's name for it is "ATSL081240". Lineage: Eukaryota; Viridiplantae; Streptophyta; Magnoliopsida; Brassicales; Brassicaceae. The record is from RNAcentral.